This 521-nucleotide ribosomal RNA is filed under the name uncultured Nereida sp. Its description in RNAcentral is "bacterial SSU rRNA". It matches the Rfam family "Bacterial small subunit ribosomal RNA", at positions 523 to 1042 of the family's 1533-position model. Lineage: Bacteria; Pseudomonadati; Pseudomonadota; Alphaproteobacteria; Rhodobacterales; Roseobacteraceae. The record is from RNAcentral.
AUACGGAGGGGGUUAGCGUUGUUCGGAAUUACUGGGCGUAAAGCGUACGUAGGCGGAUUAGUAAGUUAGAGGUGAAAUCCCAGGGCUCAACCCUGGAACUGCCUUUAAUACUGCUAGUCUAGAGUUCGAGAGAGGUGAGUGGAAUUCCAAGUGUAGAGGUGAAAUUCGUAGAUAUUUGGAAGAACACCAGUGGCGAAAGCGGCCAACUGGCUCGUUUCUGACGCUAAGACGCGAAAGCGUGGGUAGCAAACAGGAUUAGAUACCCUGGUAGUCCACGCCGUAAACGAUGAGUGCUAGCCGUUUGUGAUUUAUCACAAGUGGUGCAGCUAACGCGUUAAGCACUCCGCCUGGGGAGUACGAUCGCAAGAUUAAAACUCAAAGGAAUUGACGGGGGCCCGCACAAGCGGUGGAGCAUGUGGUUUAAUUCGACGCAACGCGAAGAACCUUACCAGGUCUUGACAUCCUGAUUAUGGUCGUUAGAAAUAACUUCCUUCAGCUCGGCUGGAUCAGUGACAGGUGCU